AACGAACGCUGGCGGCAUGCCUAACACAUGCAAGUCGAACGAGACCUUCGGGUCUAGUGGCGCACGGGUGCGUAACGCGUGGGAACCUGCCCUUAGGUUCGGAAUAACUCCCCGAAAGGGGUGCUAAUACCGGAUAAUGUCUUCGGACCAAAGAUUUAUCGCCUUGGGAUGGGCCCGCGUUGGAUUAGCUAGUUGGUAGGGUAAAAGCCUACCAAGGCGACGAUCCAUAGCUGGUCUGAGAGGAUGGUCAGCCACACUGGGACUGAGACACGGCCCAGACUCCUACGGGAGGCAGCAGUGGGGAAUAUUGGACAAUGGGCGGAAGCCUGAUCCAGCUAUGCCGCGUGAGUGAUGAAGGCCUUAGGGUUGUAAAGCUCUUUUACCCGGGAUGAUAAUGACAGUACCGGGAGAAUAAGCUCCGGCUAACUCCGUG
This 433-nucleotide ribosomal RNA is filed under the name uncultured bacterium. Its description in RNAcentral is "partial 16S ribosomal RNA". It matches the Rfam family "Bacterial small subunit ribosomal RNA", at positions 29 to 507 of the family's 1533-position model. The record is from RNAcentral.